RNAcentral lists this ribosomal RNA (376 nucleotides) under uncultured organism. RNAcentral's name for it is "partial 16S ribosomal RNA". It matches the Rfam family "Bacterial small subunit ribosomal RNA", at positions 527 to 897 of the family's 1533-position model. The record is from RNAcentral.
GUAGGUGGCAAGCGUUGUCCGGGAAUUAUUGGGGCGUAAAGCGCGCGCAGGCGGUUCUUUAAGUCUGAUGUGAAAGCCCACGGGCUCAACCGUGGAGGGUCAUUGGAAACUGGAGAACUUGAGUACAGAAGAGGAAAGCGGAAUUCCACGUGUAGCGGUGAAAUGCGUAGAGAUGUGGAGGAACACCAGUGGCGAAGGCGGCUUUCUGGUCUGUAACUGACGCUGAGGCGCGAAAGCGUGGGGAGCAAACAGGAUUAGAUACCCUGGUAGUCCACGCCGUAAACGAUGAGUGCUAGGUGUUAGGGGGUUUCCGCCCCUUAGUGCUGCAGCUAACGCAUUAAGCACUCCGCCUGGGGAGUACGGCCGCAAAGGCUGA